This 76-nucleotide transfer RNA is filed under the name Schistocerca americana (American grasshopper). RNAcentral describes it as "tRNA-Ile". It matches the Rfam family "tRNA". From Rfam's summary of the family: Transfer RNA (tRNA) molecules are approximately 80 nucleotides in length. The record is from RNAcentral. Lineage: Eukaryota; Metazoa; Arthropoda; Insecta; Orthoptera; Acrididae.
GGCCCGUUAGCUCAGUUGGUUUAGAGGCGUCGUGCUAAUAACGCGAAGGUCGUGGGUUCGAUCCCCCCACGGGCCA